Panicum virgatum (switchgrass) is the source of this 1921-nucleotide long non-coding RNA. RefSeq lists it as uncharacterized. NCBI's taxonomy places the organism in Eukaryota, Viridiplantae, Streptophyta, Magnoliopsida, Poales, Poaceae. The record is from RefSeq and is a predicted model, not a curated record. The transcript has 3 exons.
CCGUCUCUCGGCCGCCGCAUCUGGAGAGUGGAGAGCAGAGAUUCGCACGGCACCAGCUCGCGGCACGUCACUCCAGCUCGCCCCUACCCGCAGUCGGCCGCCCCUACUCACGCUCCACCGUCGUCGACUCCCUCGGCAAUCUGUGCGCCGCCGCGUCGUCGUCCUCAGAUCCGCUCGCGGACAUGGCGCUGGAGCAGAACAGCCGGCCCUGCACGUUAUCCCCUGCGGCCACGAACGCCUACGGCACUAACGGAAUGCCGAGCGCAUGGCUGGGCGAGCUGGAGAUCUUCGGCGCCACGCUGCGGGGCAACGCCGGGAGGUACGCCAUCGCCUCGUGCCCCUUCCCCUAGAUCUUCACCAGUGCUUGCUCUCUCCUUUGCAGCAUCCCCUGCACCUAGCGGGCGAGGCCGCGGCUUGAGCACUCUGGUGAGCGUCGCCUUCCCUUGCCGCGUCGCUGCACUGGCCACCGGGAGUGGGUCAGGCGGCGCAUCCCAGGCGCAGAGGGUCCUGAGUCCUGACGACCUUGGUCCGGCGCUGGAGCCGUCGUCCUCCUGCGUGAAGGUAGUAGUGGCCUGAGUGCUUCCCAUGUUCCCCACAUGGAAAUCAAUUCGCAAAUCCAUGGUAAGCUUUGUGAUGCUUGGUCGAAUGUUAGUUAAGUUUGCCUGGAAGUGCUUGUGAAAUAGCAAAUUAUUUUGUCAGAAUUGGCUGAUGCAAUGAUUGAACUGGAGUCAUGAAAUUGCUUGUGAGCUAGCACAUUAUUUUUUUCAUGGGACAUAAUAUUCUUUGCUAGGCGCUUAGCUGAUUGCAGGCGCUGGUGGCUUGAGCAUUAUUUGGAGUUGCUGGUGCCUUUUGCAUGUUGAUGUUUUGAUCAUUUUGUUUUCUUCGACACUUUGAGCUUAAUGUUUACCUUAAGUUCAAAUCUGUUUGUUAUAUUGGUCAUUUUGCUGGUGAGGUCAAAUCUCUUAGCAGUUACCAGACUACUCUGAAUCUGGGAUGGUCUCUUUUAGCUCAGAAGCAUCAUGACAUAUAGUGGCUUUCAAGCGUAUAACUUCUGAAUAUUUGUUUAGACUUCACAAGACUGCUGGGUAAUAUGAUUGCGGUAGCAUAGACUUCGUGGCAGUUAUAUCAGGCUCAUUUGUGCUUGCGACAGGUAUUACAUCAGUGUAAGCAACCAAUUACAGAUCAGUAUAGAUCAAUAGCUGUUAUUGCUAUGGCUAGUUGCUCCUUGUACAGAUCAUUUAACUAAUUACAAUAUGGCUAAUUUGCUAUGCCAAUUCAUGUAAUUGUUAAGUCUCGAUCUAUAACUUGGGAAGCUCCUUGUUAUGUACUAUAUAUUUGAAGAAUAGACAGAUGUCUUUCUCCUGUUAUGCACUUGUUAGACUUCCAAGGACAUACUUUUAUUCAGAUUAGUCACAUCCUUUAUUCAGAUUCUCUCUGUUGUCAGGCAGUCAGUGGAGCUCGGCUCUUUCCGUAGUUUGUGUUCUUUUCAUUCCAGUUGUUUUGAUCUCUAUCGCAGUGCGGACACAGUUUAGUGCUGAGCACUUCUUCUCUGCAGGUGAGCUCGACAGUUCGUGCACAGGCAGCAACAUUACAGAUCAAGUUCAGUUUCUCUCAGGAUUCACAACAUGGAAAAGAACAGAACUACCAUUUUGGAAUGCUUUAAGAAGAACCAAGUACUGAGAGGAUAGAGGGGAAAGAAGGGGCAAACAUAGGAUUUAGUUGUUAGAGAAAAAUUUCAGAAGUAGUUGUUAGCAUAUUAUUUUCUGGAGUCAAGAAUCGAUUUUAUGAACGCAGCUGUCUUGAUGAGCAAACUUUUCCAUUAUCUUAUAGAUUUUGUAAAUGGCUAUAUAUUAUAUAAUUUGUAAAUGGAUUGAUACAUAUUAUAGAAAUAUCUAUGAAAGCAUCUUUAUAUGUGUUGUGA